UACACUCCUGCGGGAGGCAGCAGUGGGGAAUUUUGGACAAUGGGCGAAAGCCUGAUCCAGCAAUGCCGCGUGUGUGAAGAAGGCCUUCGGGUUGUAAAGCACUUUUGUCCGGAAAGAAAUCCUUGGCUCUAAUACAGUCGGGGGAUGACGGUACCGGAAGAAUAAGCACCGGCUAACUACGUGCCAGCAGCCGCGGUAAUACGUAGGGUGCGAGCGUUAAUCGGAAUUACUGGGCGUAAAGCGUGCGCAGGCGGUUUGCUAAGACCGAUGUGAAAUCCCCGGGCUCAACCUGGGAACUGCAUUGGUGACUGGCAGGCUAGAGUAUGGCAGAGGGGGGUAGAAUUCCACGUGUAGCAGUGAAAUGCGUAGAGAUGUGGAGGAAUACCGAUGGCGAAGGCAGCCCCCUGGGCCAAUACUGACGCUCAUGCACGAAAGCGUGGGGAGCAAACAGGAUUAGAUACCCUAGUAGUCCC
This 473-nucleotide ribosomal RNA is filed under the name uncultured organism. RNAcentral's name for it is "partial 16S ribosomal RNA". It matches the Rfam family "Bacterial small subunit ribosomal RNA", at positions 332 to 797 of the family's 1533-position model. The record is from RNAcentral.